UGAAACUUAAGCAUAUCAAUAAGCGGAGGAAAAGAAACCAACAGGGAUUGCCUCAGUAACGGCGAGUGAAGCGGCAACAGCUCAAAUUUGAAAUCUGGCCCCAGGCCCGAGUUGUAAUUUGCAGAGGAUGCUUUUGGCGCGGUGCCUUCCGAGUUCCCUGGAACGGGACGCCAUAGAGGGUGAGAGCCCCGUCUGGUUGGACACCAAGCCUCUGUAAAGCUCCUUCGACGAGUCGAGUAGUUUGGGAAUGCUGCUCAAAAUGGGAGGUAUAUGUCUUCUAAAGCUAAAUACCGGCCAGAGACCGAUAGCGCACAAGUAGAGUGAUCGAAAGAUGAAAAGCACUUUGAAAAGAGAGUUAAAUAGCACGUGAAAUUGUUAAAAGGGAAGCGUUUAUGACCAGACUUGGGCCGGUUAAUCAUCCAGCGUUCUCGCUGGUGCACUUUGCCGGUCCAGGCCAGCAUCAGUUCGUCGCGGGGGAUAAAGGCGUCGGGAAUGUGGCUCCUCGGAGUGUUAUAGCCCUUCGCGCAAUACCCUGCGGUGGACUGAGGUUCGCGCUCUGCAAGGAUGCUGGCGUAAUGGUCAUCAACGACCCGUCUUGAAACACGGACCAAGGAGUCGUCUUCGUAUGCGAGUGUUCGGGUGUAAAACCCCUACGCGUAAUGAAAGUGAACGCAGGUGAGAGCUUCGGCGCAUCAUCGACCGAUCCUGAUGUUCUCGGAUGGAUUUGAGUAAGAGCAUACGGGGCCGGACCCGAAAGAAGGUGAACUAUGCCUGUAUAGGGUGAAGCCAGAGGAAACUCUGGUGGAGGCUCGCAGCGGUUCUGACGUGCAAAUCGAUCGUCAAAUAUGGGCAUGGGGGCGAAAGACUAAUCGAACCUUCUAGUAGCUGGUUUCCGCCGAAGUUU
RNAcentral lists this ribosomal RNA (904 nucleotides) under Stachybotrys echinatus. RNAcentral's name for it is "eukaryotic LSU rRNA". It matches the Rfam family "Eukaryotic large subunit ribosomal RNA", at positions 29 to 969 of the family's 3401-position model. Lineage: Eukaryota; Fungi; Ascomycota; Sordariomycetes; Hypocreales; Stachybotryaceae. The record is from RNAcentral.